Molecule: ribosomal RNA, 433 nt
Filed under: uncultured bacterium
Lineage: Bacteria
Description: partial 16S ribosomal RNA
Rfam family: Bacterial small subunit ribosomal RNA
Source: RNAcentral
AACGAACGCUGGCGGCAUGCCUAAUACAUGCAAGUCGAACGAGAUCUUCGGAUCUAGUGGCGCACGGGUGCGUAACGCGUGGGAAUCUGCCCUUGGGUUCGGAAUAACUUCUGGAAACGGAAGCUAAUACCGGAUGAUGACGUAAGUCCAAAGAUUUAUCGCCCAAGGAUGAGCCCGCGUAGGAUUAGCUAGUUGGUGGGGUAAAGGCCCACCAAGGCGACGAUCCUUAGCUGGUCUGAGAGGAUGAUCAGCCACACUGGGACUGAGACACGGCCCAGACUCCUACGGGAGGCAGCAGUAGGGAGUAUUGGACAAUGGGGGAAAACCUGAUCCAGCAAUGCCGCGUGAGUGAUGAAGGCCUUAGGGUUGUAAAGCUCUUUUACCCGGGAUGAUAAUGACAGUACCGGGAGAAUAAGCUCCGGCUAACUCCGUG